AGUGGUAGUUGUUGCAUAGCUUUAGCGACUCUGCAACUUCCGAUCAAUUGAUGGCUUCUCGCCGGGAAAGAACAAGCAGUACAAUUGGGCCGAAGCAAUAUAGUUUUGAAGAAUUAGCAGCGGCAACUGGUCGUUUCUCCCGCAAAAACCUUCUUGGCGAGGGUGGUUAUGGUGAAGUCUUCAAGGGAUUUCUAGAUGAGCACCGUGCUAUUAAGAAACUUAGAAUUAUUUCAUCGGAUGAACAGAGGAAAAAAGAAUUGGAGCACGAGAUCAAGGUCAUUAACAGUGUCAGUCACAGAAAUCUUGUUAAGCUGGUUGGCUACUGCAUUGAAGAAAACGAUGUGUUGCUCGUUUUAGAGUAUUUUCCAAAUAAGUGCUUGAAAUAUAAUUUACAUGUUGAGUUUUAUUUUAUUUUAAUUUUUUUUUUCUUUCCAAGCUCUUAGUUUUAUAUAUGUGCAAACUGAUUAACUUACAAAUAUUAAAUGGCAUGUAGAAAGAAAAGGGAGGAUUUUGGUUUGGCAAGAAAGAAUGCAAAUCGCCAAAGGCUUAGCAAAAGGAUUGGAAUAUUUGCAUGAAGACUGUGAGUAUUUAAUAUGAAAUUAGCUGCUUGCUAAAUGCUAGGAUAUUUUUUAUGGGGAAAAAAACAUAUUUUCUUAAUAUUUUUCAGGUAAUUUUAGAAUCAUACAUCAGGAUAUCAAACCGGGUAAUAUUCUUCUUGAUGACAAUUUUGAAUCAAAGGUAAGUUAAUUAAAUAAUAUACGAAACUUAUCAUAGGUGUAAUCAAAGUCACUAUAUAUAGUAAAACUCUAAGUUAAUUCCCUUUUUGUUGGCAAAAUUAUGCCAACACAUUAAUUCUAAUGUUGGUUUUCUUUGAUAGAUGGCACAGUAGAUCUGCUAAUGUUUAGAUUAUUUUGUGCAGAUUGCAGAUUUUGGACUCGCCUUAUUUCUCCCAGAUAAUGCUACUCAUGUUUCCCAAUAAGCUGUGGGAACUGAAGUGUGAGACAUAUAUAUUAUCUCUUAAUUAAAUUGCCAUCUAUACAAGGAAAAAUAAAAAGUAAAAACAAUGAAAACUUAGCAAAGGUCAUAUUUUGGCCUCUCUAGUAUAGACUUUUAUUUUCUAGAGAAGGAUUUUUAACCUGAUUCUUCAUUGUGUUUUCAACUACAGUUAUAUGGAGAAAUCAAAAAGAAUUUCUAAGAAAUCAGAUGUUUAUUCAUUUGGUGUAGUGCUUCUUGAGCUGAUCACCGGCAGAAAACCAAUAUGCGAUGGCAUUGAUAUUGUUAACUGGGUAUGCUACUAGCUUGUUUUAUAUCAACAGAAGUUGCUUCUAGUGUGGCACAUCAUCAACUUCCUGGUGACGAUUGCUACUUCAAUUAUUUUAAGUGUUUGCUUUUGUUACUCUUGGACUGUGGUUCUGCAUUUCAAGCUUAAAACAUCUUCAACAAGAUUACAUGUACAUUUUCUUUUAAUUUUUAUUUUUAUCAAUAUUCAGGCAAAAAAUCCAAUUAAACAAGCUUUGAUGGGACAGUAUUCGGGUUUUGUCGAUUCCAAAUUGCAAAGCUAUAAUGUAGAAGAAAUAAAGCUGAUGAUUUGUUGUGCUGAACACUGUGUUUAUAAACCUUCAACGGAUCGUCCAAGAAUACGAGAGGUAUAAAAAUGAUCCAGUUAGUGUUUUAAUCAUUUAUAGUUUGUGUGUGCGUCACCUUUUUAUUAUUGCUAUGCCAUGCAGAUAGUUCGAGUUCUUGAAGGAUUUAUUCCUCCUCAGGAUAAGGAUGCUACUGACUUCCUCCAGCAUAGGGUGCAGAAGCUUUCCAUCAUUCCAGAAACUGAUGAUAAUGACAGUGUGGAGUCUGAAGUUUAUAGUACGAGGAUGUUUCCUUAUCAACAACUUGAAAGAGCGACUCAAGGUUUCUCCCAAUUUCUUGGUGAGGGAAGUCUAGGUCUAGUUUAUAAGGGAUACCUGGAUGGCAAAGAAGUUGCUGUAAGGCAACUUAAAGAUCUUCCAGAUGAAAAACAAAAAGAAAAUUUGGAGAAAGAUAUUAAGAUCAUUGGCAGUGUGAAUCACCCAAAUCUUGUCAGGCAGAUUGGAUACAGCAUUCAAGGACUCAAUAGAUUUCUUGCUCUAGAGUUUUUCCCCAGUAUCUCCUUGAAAUCUCUUUUACAUGGUGAGUCAUUUUACUUGCAUCCUAAUUAAUUUAUUCACAUAUAUAGGUAUCUAUGCGUAAUUGCAAAAUAUUACAACUAAGAAAUUUAUCGAAAUUUAAUUUAAUCGUUUUCUUUUUUUUUUAAAUAUUCUAAUUGUUAGAAUAAAAACUCAAUUUCUUUAAUUUAAAAACAGUUGACUAUGAAUUGAAAAUUUUUAUAUAGGAAAGCGAACAUUGGAGUGGUCAAAAAGAGUAAAAAUCGCAAUAGACUCUGCAAGAGGAUUGGAAUAUCUUCAUGAAAAUUGUGAGUGUAUAUAUAAUUCACAAUAUUCAUUUCCAUGUUGCCUUAAGAAUUUUCUCUUUCGUUUUUUCAUGUUAUCAAUCUAUUUUUUGUUAUAUUUUUCUAUUAUAUUUUAUAUUUACAGGUAAAAUUGUACAUGGAGAUAUUAUGACAAAUAAUAUUCUUAUUGAUAAUAAUUUUCAGCCAAAGGUAAAAAAGAGUUUAUUAUGCUUAAGUUAAAUGCCAAAAUUUUCUUUGUAAAAUAUGCAGACUUUGGAUUACAAAGAUAAUUUUGGUUCAGGUUACAAACUUUGGACUUAUCAAGUAUUACAGAUCUGAGAGAACUGUUGUGUAAGAACGUUUUCUUUCUUUCUUUUUUUUUUUUUUCAUUCUGUUUCUUAUUAUUUUUUUUAUAAGCAAAUUUUUAUUAAAAUAAAAUCCUCUCUUUCUUAUUACUUGAAUUACUUAAUAUUGCAAUUCUAUCCCUUUGAAUUAGUUAAAAUAAAAUAAAACUAGACAGUUUAUUAGGUUUUUCUAUUGACAGAUUUUUUUUUAAUUUUUUAAUCUUUUAAUUCAAUUACAUUACAGUUAUGCAGAUCCUGAAGAUAGAAAAAGAAUUUCUGAAAAUUCAGAUAUUUAUGCUUUCGGUGUUGUGCUUUUAGAAUUGAUUACCGGCAUAGAAUCCAGGAAAAAAGGCACCAAUAAUAUUGUUAACAAGGUAUGAACUUAUCUAUAAUGGUUUAUCAUAUCAUUAGUAACUUAGUUAAUCUAUAAUAUAUUUAAUAAAGGAUAGAAGCAGUCAAUUUUAAACCAACAUAUUUCAUCUAUGAAUUUGUUCAAAUGGAUUUUUGAAGAAAAUUCUACAAGCUAGAUAGACUUUUGAUCAAUUAUAUAUUUUAGCAGGUAGCUUGUUCUUAAUAUGAGCGUAUACUUACAAAUGUGCUACAAAGCUUAAGGCUUUUAUUUUUGAAAAAGAAAAGUAACAACUUUCCCAUUAAUAUUCAGGCAAAAACUUUAAUGAGACAAGCAAUGAAAAGAGAGUAUACCACUAUUCUUGAUCCUACAUUGCAAGGUAAUUAUAAUAAAAUAGAAAUAGAUCGAAUGUUUUGUUGUGCUGCUGCGUGUGUCUAUAAACCUUCAGCAUUUCGUCCACAGAUAAAGAAGGUAUGAGUUCAUCCACAGUCUGUCAAAACUUUCAAAGAUUACAUGGUUUAUGUCUAACUUUUUUUUUUUUCUUUUAUACCUUUAUUAUGUCAUACAGAUAGUUGGAGUUCUUAAAGGAAGUAUUCCUCGGAAGGACAUAUGGAAUGAGAGUGACAAUCAAUUCUUAUCGAAUACUAUAGUUAAAGGUCUCAAUUUUAUAAUGAUAUAUAUUUUUUAUUUUUUCUAAAUUACCAUCUAUUUUAUUUUAUAAGUGAUAAUUAAUUAAUAUAUUGCUGUUGAAUAAUAAAUUAUAAAAGUAUUGAUAUAAAUUAUUUUUAAAAAAUAUUCAAAUAAAUUCUUGUAAAAUUAUGUAUGAUUUAAUUUUCAUAUAGAGUAAAAGUUUUUAUGUAUGAUAAAAGUUUUUUAAAUUAAAAAAAAUUAAAUUUUUUAUUUUAUAUAAGAAAAUUAUAAAAAAAUUUAAUUGAAUUAAAUUCUUAUCUUUUUUAUUUCAAAGAGACGAAUAAUAAAUUUUAAUGGAAAGUACAUAAGUAUUAUUUAAUCUCGGUUCCAACUACUAAAUGUUCACUUUGUUUUUUCCGGUAUCAAGAAUCUCCACCUUUGUUAACAAAACCAGAGAAAAUGGUUGAAGAGGGAAACGUGAUUGCCUGCCACACAGUGAAGGCUUGGAAGAAGCAGUAUAAGAGGGGAAAGCGAUUGAUUGUGGUGGAUUUUAGUGCUUCCUGGUGUGGGCCUUCUCGUUUCAUGAGUCCAAUUCUGGCAGGGUGGGCGAAGUUGAUGCCAAAUGUCAGAUUCUUGACGGUGGAUGUUGAUGAAUUGAGUUCUGUUGCAAGAAAUUGGGCAAUUGAGGCAAUGCCAACAUUUUUGCUCUUGAAACGAGGACAAUUACUCGACAAGGUUGUUGGUGCCAACGUACCGCUACUGCAGUUGACCAUCGCAAGGCAUGCUGGUGGCGCACACAGGACUUUAGGUCAGUGCAAAUAAUUGUACAUUUUUUAUUAUUAAUUGUACUUUUUUAUUAUAUAUAAUUAAUUAAAUAAUUAUUACCUCUCCAUUUACAAUUAAAAAAAUUAUAAUAAUUAAAUAAAAUAAUAUCGUUUGAUUUAAUUUUUUUUAUAAAUUUAUUAGUAAUUCAAUUUUUUUUUUUAAUGAUACAGGACCUGAAGUGUUGAAUCCUGCUAUAUUUUCACAACCUACAAAUGUCUACGUGACACUUCCAACCGGAUAUGCACAACCGCAAUUCAUUAGCAUGACUUCUGUUCAGAAUCCACAAAUGUUUCCUCCUUAUCCUAACUAUCCAUACUAAAGAAAAUAGUUUGGCUCGGAGAUUUCAAUAUGAAUUUAGUUUUUAGAAGCUUACUAAAUACUAUAAUUUAGCUGUUCUUUUUUUUUUUUUUCUCCCGGUAUCAAGAAUCUCCAUCGUGGUUAACAAAACCAAAGAAAAUGGCUGAAGAGGGAAAGGUGAUCGUCUGAAACAAAAUGAAGGCUCGGAAGAAGCAGUAUAAGAAGGGAAAGCGAUUGAUUGUGGUGGAUUUUAGAGCUUCUUCCAUGAGUCCAGAUCUGCCAGAGUUGGCGAAGAAGAUGCCAAAUGUCAAAUUCUUGACGGUGGAUGUUGAUGAAUUGCCUUCUGUUGCUAGAAAACGGGCAGUUGACGCAGUCCCAACCUUUUUAUUAUUGAAACGAGGAAUAUUACAAGGUUAAUAACAUAUAAUUAGGAGGGUUAUCAAAUCCAUCAAUUAUAAUUAAUUUUCCUUUUUAAUUCAAUAAUUUUUAUAACUAGGAGAAUGAGUUUCGAUUUAUAGAGAUUUUAAAUUUAUUUAAUUUAAAUAUUAAAUAUGAAAAAAAUUAUUAAAAUAAAAAGAGAAAAAAAUUUAAUUGAAAAUUUAGUUUCAAGAAAAGUCAAGAGGAAGAAAAUAUGUGUGAUAAAAUUAUUAAAUAAAUAAUUAAUUAAAAGUUUAAUAGAAGGUAAUCAGAGGUUUAUUAAUUAAUUAUUAAUUUAAAAAGGUAAUUCACUUAAUUUUUCAUUAUUUAGUUAAAAUGUUCAAAUAAGUAAAUUUCAUUAAUUCUUCUUUAAAAUUAAAUUAAUUUAUAAAGUGUUAAAUUAAUUUUUAAUUAAUUAACAAUUUCAAUAAGCUUGUAGAUUUAAUUAAUUAAUUAUAUUAAGAAAAAAAUUUAAACUUUAUUAAUAAUUAGAAGCGGAUUAUUUAAAUCAAAUCAUGCAAUUCCUUAACAUAAAUAAAUAUGGUAAUUACUAUUUGUAUUAAUCCAAUUAAAUAAUUAUAUAUUUACUUAAAUUAAAUAGCAAUAUGUUAUUUAAUUAUGAUAUUCAAUAAGCCUCUUGAAUAUCUAAGAAAACAACAAUUGAGGUGAUAUUUUUCAAAAAUAGAAAAAGAAUGAAAAUAUAAAUUAAGAUGAUAAAAAAAUGAGAUUAGAUCUCACAACUUGAUAAAAAUCUCAACUAGAUUACUUUCAACUAAGCAAGAGAAGCUAGCUACUCAGAGCCAUUAUAAAAAUGUAGAAAAAAUAAAAAGAAGAAAAUUUGGUUCAGCUUAAGAUGUUGAAGAAAUCGAGAGACGAAGAGAAAAAAAAAAGAGGAGAUAUGUAUUAAAAUAUGGAGUUUAAUAAUAUAUUUUUUUAAGAGUUAUUUUGUCUUUUUAUAUUUUUUCUGAACAUAUAAAUUUGUAAUAUUUUUUUAGUGUAUUCUGUUCAAAAAACUCCCAGAAAAAUAAAAAAACAAUAGUCACAGUGGAUAUUAACCAAAUUGAUGAAACAUGUUAAAUUUGUGCGUUAAUUUCUUUUCGUACUUAUUUUUUAUAUUGUAUGAUUGUUCGAUUCUUAACAAUAUGUGUCGAAGAAGAGAUGAAUUAAAAGAUGAUCUCGUACUCCUAAAACAGCUCUUAUAUAGAUUUUUCCCAAUCAAAAAAUAAAAGGAAUUAUUCAAUUUUAAUCAUAUUUGCAACUAUUUGAAAUAAUUUGAAUUUUGUACCGGAUAUAAAAAUUGAAACUCUAUUGUCUGUCCAUGGAGCUUGGACCACAGACUUGGGCAAAGCAGAACUUGUCAGUCCACAAUAGGUCUAAAAUAGCCUCUCUUGAUGCCUUUUACCACAUUUAGCUCUAAACUUGUCCAAAAUUAAAAUCCAAGUUAAAAAUUCAUUUUUUACCAUUAAGAAUAUAACAAAAUUAUGGAAAUUAAUAUAGAAAAAGUAUUGAAUUUGACAACUCAUCAAAUUAUAUUUUUAUUAAUCGACUAAUAAUUCUAUAGGCUUAAUAAUUGAUGUUGCUUCAGUCCUUUCUUCGGAAAAUAGAUUUACAAAAUAACAAGAAAAACCGAGUAGUUUGAUGGAUAAAACCUCCAAUACUUAAGUCAGUAAGGGAUCCAAGGUGAAUUUAGAAAAAAUAUUAGAUAGAUCACAUACCUGGAGAUUGACUCUUUAAAUAGUUUGUCGGUAGUCUUAUUUUGAUAAGAUUUUGAUUUUGUGAUUGAGUCCUAGUAGGACAAGAAAUUAUUCUGUUUGAGACUUUAGACUAAAAUGGGCCUUGAGGUCCUGUUUAAUAUGAAAUGGAUUGUAGAGAGAUCCAUUCAGAUUUUUGGGCUUUUAAUGGUUCCUAUGUCAAUAUCAUUAGUCCCUCCAUUUGUCCAUGAAUCUUUAGGUUUAGAAAACUUUCUUCUUCUUCUUAUUUUUAUUUUUCUCUUUCUUUUUUAUACCGUGCUAUUAUGUUGCUAUUGAAUGAUACUACAUUAGGAAAAUGAAGGUCGUUCUCUUGCUCCUUUUGUUCAUCUUCUUUUUCUUCUUUUCUAGUCGCUGAAUUUUGGAGUUUGUUCUUUGUGCUCUUUCGCUCAAAGUACUCUUCUUAAAUUUAUUUUUGAGUUUUACUUGUGGUUUUUUUUCUUAGGUGUUUUCGAUCUUUAAAGUUUUGUAGUACUUGAAAGUUUUCAGUUUUCGGCCUCUAGCUACAGUUUUCGGCCUCCAGAGACAGUUUUCGGCCUUUGGCUAUAGUUUUCGACCUCCAGCUAUUGUUUUUGGCCUCUGACUAUGGUUUUCGGUUUUUGGCUACGGUUUUUGGCCUUUGGCUAUGGUUUUCAAUUUUUUGGCCUAUAGUUACAAUUUUCGGCCUUCGGCGAUAGUUUUCAUCAUCCGACUAUAGUUUUCAGCUUCUGAUUUUUUACUUUCAAUUUUUGGUUUUCAACCUUCAGUUUUCGGCUUUUGAUUUUUUAUUUUUAAUCAGUUGAAUUUUUAGACAGUUGGCCAGUUAGGUUUUCGGCCUUUCAGAUUUUCGGUCUUGGCGUGGUAGCACGCUGGUUUUGAUUGACUUGUUUUCCCACUGCAUUGACAACUCGACAUUAAUGAGAUCUGAUAUAAUGUUGCCAGUAACAUGGUACCAUGCUACUAUCAUAGUACUAUGCUGCCACGGUAUUAGUUGUUGAUGAGGGUGCUCAUAACUCUUAAGGGUCUAUUGGUUUGCUUACUUAUUUUUCUAUCGUAUUAACCACUUGACAUUUAUGAGAUCUGGUACUAUGCUACCAUGGUAUCACACUAUCAUGAUAUCAGUUGCUAAUGAUGAGGGCGCUCAUAAUGCCUAAGAGGUAAUUGGUCUGGCUGACUUAUUUUUCCUCUAUAUUGGUGGCUUGACAUUGAUAAGGUCUGGCACCAUACUGCUAUGGUAUCAGUUGCUGAUGAGGGCACUCAUAAAGCUUAAAGGCCAAUUAGUCUGGCUGACUUAUUUUUCCCCUGUAUUGGCGGCUUGACAUUGGUAUCAGUUGCUGAUUAGGACGCUUAUAAUGCCAAAGGGGCAAUUGGUUGGCCGACUUAUUUCUCUUAUGCAUUGGCGGUAUAAUGUUGAUAAGAUCUAAUAUCAUGCUGCCACGGGAUCAGUUGCUAAUAAGGGCGCUCGUAAUGCCUAAGGGGCAAUUGGUUUGGCAAACUUACCAUGGUAUCGGUUAUUGAUGAGGGUGCUCAUAACGCCUAAGAGGCAAUUAGUCUGGCUGAAUUAUUUUCCCUCUAUAUUGGCGGCUUGAUAUUGAUAAAAUCUGGUACCAUGCUGCUACGAUACCAUACUGCCAUAGUAUCGGUUGCUGAUGAGGGCGCUCGUAAAGCUUAAAGGGCGAUUGGUCUUACUGACUUAUUUCCCUCCUGUAUUGGCAACUUGACGUUGAUAAAGUCAGCAUAGUAUCAUGCUGCCAUGGUACGAUGUUGCUGUACUAUCAGUUGCUGAUAAGGGCGUUCGUAAUGCCUAAAGGGCAAUUGGUUUGAUAGACUUAUGUCCCCAUGCACUGCUUGAUGUUGAUAAUAUCUAGUAUCAUGUUGUCAUAGUAUUAAUUGCUGAUGAGGGCGCUCUUACGUCGUCUAAGAGGACAAGUGGUUACCUGAAAAAGUGCCUUACAUUGCUUAGGUGAGCAAGUGGUCGCCUGAGAGGGUGUUCUUAUAUUGCUUAGGAGCAAUUUUACGUCGCCUAAAUGGAUAAGUGGUUGCCUAAAAAGUACUCUUAUAUCGUCUAAAUGGACAGAUGGUUGCUUUAAAGGGUGCUCUUACAUCACCUAAGGACACUCUUACAUUUUAUAAAUUUUAAUAAUCUUAUAAUUAUUACUAUAUAUAAAUUUAUUAAUAUUUUUUAUCUUUUAAAAUAUAUUUAAAAAAAUUAUUUUCUGAGAUAAUUUUUUUUAUAGAAAUAUUUUUCAUAGAUAGAAAAUAUAUUGUAUAUUUUCAAUUUAUUUUCUUCAAAUAUAUAAAACAGCUUUAACUUUGCUAAUAUUUAGAAUCACGUCGGCAUUAUAGAUAAGACAAAUUUUAAUGGAAAAACGAUUAAAUAUAAAGACAAAACCAUCAAUUAGCUGUAUUAAUUUAGACCAUAACAACUAACAUUGUUUAAAGUAAUUAAUUAAUGAGACUUUAGCAUUUGAAGUAGACUAGUGUCUUAUUCCAAAAAAAAAAAAUUAUUAUAUUAUUGCAAGAGACCUCUCUGUUAAAUUAAUAUUAUCUUUAAGACAUGUGAAUUUAUUUUAUAUUUAUUAAUAUAUUAUUAAUCAGUAUAUAUAUCUGUUAAAUUUUUAUUAAUUUAUUAAAUAUAAAUUUUUUCAUAAAAUAUAUAUAUUUUUUAUUUUACUCUUGAGAUAGUUUAGAAAAUAGAAGUAAAUAAAUUUCAAUUAUAAAAUUAUACCAAACAUGAUUAUUGAAUUAUUCAUUUUAGAUUUUUUUUAAAAAAUAAAACUACCGAUUGUAUUGAUAAAAUUCUAUUAAAUAAAAAGAGAUAUCAUCCUAAACAGAGAGACGAUUAUGUCUAAUAGAUUCUCUAACCAAAGUAUGAGCGGUUAGAGUAGUAUUACGAUGAACCCAUCUAAUAGAAAAUCCCUGCAUAAGAUAAUUUAGCAAAAAUACUCCUCAAGUGGCUGUCUAAACCACUGCAUAAGAUAAUUUGACAAAUAUAUUCCUCCUUCUUUCUCAUCUCUCAAGUAUAAAUCAUUAAAGUCUCCCGACCAAAGCCACGGAAGAGAGCUUCUACGAGAUAAAGCUCGAAUAAGGUUCUAAGACUGACGUCGUCAUUGCGAUUUUAGAAACUCAUAAUAACUAGUAAACCUCCAUUGACCAUUACCUUCCGAAAUAACCGAAUCAAUAAAAUUUAAAGAAAAGCCAACCACAGAAAUAGACACAUGACUCUUCCACAUUAACGAAACGCCUCCUCUCAAUCAUUGUCUAUUGACUGAGAAGCAACUAUCAAAAUGUAAAAAACUACGAAAAAAUUUUGUUGUCCCUUGAAACAACCCAAGAGAGGGGGUGAAUUGGGUUUAUAAAAAAAAUUAAGGUAAAGAGACACAAAUUAAAAAGGGAGUAAGAAAGGUGAAGAAAAAUCAACACAAAGGUUUAUAGAGGUUCAACUAUCUCAAGUCUACGUCCUCUCCUCAAGGUCCUCUCCUCAUGGUCCUCAUUGAGAGUUCAACUCCACUAUCUAAUCUUCUUUGGGUGAAGAUUAAAACUCCUUGCAAUUCUAGAGCAAAAAUCUUGCUCUUUUACAAAUCUCUUUUUCUCACAAGAAUAAUCAUUUGCUCAAAAUCACACCCACCACAAUUAAUUCACUCAACAACCUUCACUCAAUCUUAAAACUCAAACCAAUUACAACUCAAAACAGACUUUCAAAGAAUUAAUGCUAUAGCUCAAGGUUUUGAGAGAGAGAGAGAGAAAAAGGCUUUAAUCUCAAUAAGUGUUUGCUUAGAUGGUUGUUGUAACCUUUUCAGAUAAAAAACACAUUAUAUUUAUAGUUCUGUUAUAAAUAUGGCCGUUGGGGAUGCAUUAAAUGCAAAUAGAGUCAUUUAUGUACAGAAAUAACCGUUAUAUCGUGUUCAGAAAAAUUUAGGUUCGGCGGUCUAAGGUUAAAGUUCGGCGGCCGAACCUUUUGAGGUAAAGAACAUCUUUCUUGAAAAUGGACUUUCGGCGGCCUAAAGUCCAUAUUCGGCGGCUGAACAUAUGGGAUUUUUGCCUUUGCCUCUGUCCCUUCUCCUUCAGAAGCCGAAAGUUACACUUUAGAGGGCAUGUUGAAAACAGACUUUUGGCGGUCGAACAUAUGAGACUUUUGCCUCUGUCCCUUCUCUUUCAGAAGAUGAAAGUUUCACUUUAGGGGGCAUGUUGAAAAUAGACUUUCGACGGCCGAACAUAUGGGACUUUUGCCUCUGUCCUUCACUUUCAGAAGUCGAAAGUUUCACUUUAGGGAGAACAAAAAAUAAUUUUUUAAAUCUUUGAAAAAUCAUAACUUAGGCUAUAAAACUCCAUUUUUCAAUCCGUUUGAAUUUUUGCAACCUAUAUUUUUGAAUAUUUUAUUUUAUAAAAAAUAAUUUCAAAAUCACUCCUUUUAGAAAAUUUCAUUUUGGUCCCUCCAAGUCAAUUACUUAAAACUUGGCCAUAUUUAGAAAAAACUUUUAGGAUUGAAAGAAACCUUGAGCCAUCACAAUUAAUUAAUUGAAAUUCACAAUGCAUAAAUUGACAAUGCAAAGAAAAAUUACAAUCUGAUCCCCUUCUUCUGAUAUGCUUCCAAAAUUGGCACUUUCCACUUUUGAGUCCUAAGCGAUUUCAUUCAUUUUAAUAAGGGACCUACAAGCUCAACAUAAACACUUUUAAAGAAUAUUAGUAGCACACCAAUUGUUUAUUUAUCAUCAAAAUAAGGAUUAGAACAUUUAGGUCCAACAAAUUCCAUACGAGAACUAAGAGCUAGCUUUUAUUUUCAUCAAAAAUAAAAUGUCUGGCUUGUAACUAGUAACCAAAUCUUUCAAUGUAUUAACUGUCCUCAGCAGUUCCAACACAGGACGAUCAUUGCUUUCGGCUAUUCUGACCUUUGACGGGAUGAGCCGCUUCACUGUUGCUUGUCGAAUUAACAUUCGCAGGGGUGUUGUUAGAGGCAUCCUGUUGAGAGGAAGGAAAACCUGUAAUAAUGUUAUGUUUAGUGUUUCUUGGCCUUUUUUUAGCAUCAUCAUUUAUUCGGACUGCAAUCUCCUCAUCAAAUUUAUCAGAACUGCCUUGGCUCACAGAAUUCUUGUGCAUGUCCAUAAUAUGGUCCUCAGUCUCCUUAUUUACAAUGGGUUGACUUUUGCCAAAUAAGGAGAAUUGCCUAUUAUGUGCUGCCAAAUUAGUGUUUUUAAAAUUGCUAAUUGAUGCUAAUCCUGCCACAAAUCCCGGCGGAGCAGAAUUGCCAGAAUCACGCAACCAUAGGCUUAUCGGUCUAUGGUUCCGACGAACAGGUGCUUUGAGGAAAUCACCCCAAUCAAACUUGAUAUCUUCUUUCUUCAACCUCAGCUGCAAGUCGCAGAAAGCCUUCACAUGACCCAGUUUCCCACAUAGAUAGCAAAAAGUAGUCAACUUUUCAUAUUGAAACUUCACAGUAAACACAGUACCAUCAUCUCCAACAAACUUCUUCCGCCGUUUCAAAGAUUGCCAAAUGUCCAAACAAACUUUAACUCUCAUAGGGCCCGGCGACAUAGCUAAAGCAUUUUUCAUAUCAUACUCUUUAUAGUGGCCAACAAAAUUCCCAACCAAUUUAGCCAACGUCUCGUUAUAAUAACCAGAAUGGAGGUCUUUCAUCAGAACCAAAAAAUCAGAAUGAGUUAGAGGAAUAUGGAGAUGAUUUUCAUUACCUUGUAUCUCCUUCCAAACAAGCAGAAAUCGAUUGUACAACCAAGGACCCCCAUUCCCUAUAUUUUCAAAAUCAACAUUAUUAAAAAACCGAAACAUAUAUCUUUUUGCCUCUAAUUCCAUAAUAGAUAACCCCUAUAAAGGAUGUCAUAAAUCUGUCAAACAGAUCUGCAUAUUCUGGAAAUUGAUUUGAUUGUAUGUAAGAAAUAUCCCCACCAUACAGAAAUCAUAAGUGACGAUCAGAAUAUCUCUGGAACUCUUAAUAGGGACAACAACAUCUUCUUCGUCGAUAGUCAAUUGACACAUAUAGUCUUUCAUGGAGAAGGGAAAGAAUAAGUUAGGUUUAAGGAAGAGAAAAGGCGAGAGUAUCGAGCCGCAAAGGGACCACAGAGGGAAACUUACAUUCACACUAUUUAUUUUAGGUUAUAUUAUACUAAAUAUUCAAAUUCAUUUUAAAUGAAUUGUAUUUAAAUUCAGUUGAAUGUAUUUACGAAUGUUUUUGUAAGAAAAAGAUUUAAAUGAAUUUUUAUAAAAUUAUUCAUGAUUUAUUUUUAUACAUAAUAAAAAUUUUUAAGUUAAAAAAUUUUAAAUUUUUUUUAUUUCAAAUAAAAAUUUUGCAAAAAAAAAAAGAAUUAAAUUAAAUUUUUACAAAAUUUUUUAUUUCAAACGGAGAAUAUAAUAAAAAUAAAAUUUUUAAAAUAAAAAUACCUAACGAAUAUUUAUAUUUUGAUUUUUUUUUUCAAUAAUAAGAAAAUUUAUUAUUAAAUAAAAACAAGACGAGAUACUACCAAGGAAAAAAUAGUAUUUAAAUACAAAUAGUAUAAAAUUUUAUUAAAAUUUUUAUAAACUUUAAUUCUUAUGGUAGUUUCUGUGCAAUUUUUCCAUGUAAAUGUAAUCCAUGGGAUUUAACAUGAUAAUUGGAAGUAAUUGCCAGAGUAACGUUACAUAAAUUCGUUAAGCAUAUUUAUUUUGUAAGAAUGAUAAAUCAUGUUAUUUGAUCUUAAAAAUAUGAAGACCAAACGAUAGGUUUCUCUAAAGUUCAAGAUUAUAUUAUAAUUUAGGGUAAACUACAGUUUAGUCCCUCUAAUUUAAUGAAAUAUUUACUUUAGUUCCUGUGUUUUUUAAAACCUACAAUUUAAUCUUUCACAUUUAAAAAAACUGCAAAAUAGUCCCUACAGUCAAAUUUUCAGUUAACCUUCCAUUUAUUUUAAUGAAAAUGACUAAACUACCCUUUAAAUAAAAAAAUCCAAUCAAACACUAUUUUUCACUUCCAAAUCAGCCCAUCUCACUACCUCUCAUUCCCGAUCCUCUUCUUCCUUUUCUCCUCAUCUUUCUCCUUCUUUUUCCGAUUCUCUUCUUCCUUCUCUCCUCAUCCUUCUUCUUCUUCUGUGUUUGAUUUCAUGCAAUUGGGCGAGAUGGUAGUGGUGAUUAUACGAAUAUGGAUAAAUAUGAAGAGCUUCUUCCUUCUCUCCUCAUCCUUCUUCUUCUUCUGUGUUUGAUUUCAUGCAAUUGGGCGAGAUGGUAGUGGUGAUUAUAUGAAUAUGGGUAAAUCUGAAGAGCUUCUUCCUUCUCUCCUCAUUCUUCUUCUUCUGUGUUUGAUUUCAUGCAAUUGGGCGACAUAGUAGUGGUGAUUAUACAAAUAUGGGUAAAUCUAAAGAGAGAAGAAGAACAAUGAUGAGAAUAAAAUAGAGCAGAUAAGUGAGUAAGAGCAGCCGCAACUAAGAAGAAGAAGAAGAAGAAGAAGAAGAAGGAUGAGGAGAAGAAGGAGAAGGAGAGGAUUGGGAAGGGGAGGUAGUAGGAUGGAGCGAAUACUGUUUGGUUGAGUUUUUUUACUUAAAGGGUAGUUUAGUCAUUUUCAUUAAAAUAAACGGAAGGUUAACUGAAAAUUUGACAGUAGGGACUAUUUUGCAGUUUUUUUAAAUAUAUGUGAAAGAUUAAAUUGUAGGUUUUUAAAAAUAUAGAGACUAAAGUAAACAUUUCAUUAAACUAGAGGGACUAAACUGUAGUUUAUCCUAUAAUUUAAUUUAAAUUAUUUAAAUUUAUUUUUAAAUAAUUAUAAAAAAAUUUAAGUAUAUUGGAUUUUUAUGGUAUAAAAUUUAAAUAAUUAGGUAUAAUGUUGAUUUCGCAUAAAUGUUUGAAAUUUUUCAUUCAUUAGUAUAUUUUUGAAUUAAAAAUUUAGAACAAUUAUCCUUAAAUUAUCUUAAAUAAACAUUUUAAAAGAAAUAGAAAUAAUUUAUAAUUUUAUAAGAAUUUAAUUUAUUAUAAAUUAGAGGAUUAUGAAUAAAAAAAUUAUAAUUAUAAUUAUAGUUUUAACAUCAUAUUUUGAAAUAGAUACUUAUAUAUGCGAAUAUAAUGGAUGCGAGAAAAAUGGCUCACCAUGUAAAAGAGAUUCUAAAUGUAUUGGGUCCUUCAAUGCAGUAUCCAACUAGCCUAACAAGAUUUGGGUGAUUUACACUGCAAAUGAUCUUAAUAUCCUCAUUCAAUUCUUCUCUGAGUUUUUCAUCUGGAAGAUAUUUUAGUCUCCUUACGGCAACGUAUUGGCCAUCUAGGGAUCCCUUAUAAUAAUCUGCACCUAGACCACCCUCGCCAAGAUAUUGGGAGAAAUCUUGAGUUGCCGAUUGAAGUUGUUGAUAAGUGAAUCUCCUUGGAUUAUAAGCUUUAAACUCCGCAGUGUCCUUAUCGUCAAUUUCUGGAAUGAUAGAAAGCUUCCGCAUCAUCUGCUGGAGGAGAUUAUCUGGAUCAACCAAGAAACCCAUCAACUUUGAUCAGAAGAAACCUGCUGACUGUAAACUUAAUUAACUUCUUUUUAGUAAAUUAAGUGGAUUUCAAAAAAAAAAAAAAAAACGAUUUUUUGGAAAAACUCGUUCUUAUCUUAUCCCCAUCUAAUUUUGAUUAUAUUAUAAAGUUCUCUAACUUGCCCAUAAUUUUUAUUUAUUGUUAACAAAUUUAUAAGUCAACAAAUUUUACCAUUUUUAUUGAUGGAUGAAAUUUUAGCGGAUAAUUUAUGCAAAUAUUAAUAAAAAAAUCAUUCGAUACCUUUCGUUGUGGACAAAGGAUUGCAACCUUGAAUCUAUAAAAUCUACAUAUUCUCCAUUCAAAGCCUUUUCAAUAAGAGGUUUUGCCUACAAGAUAUUAAUGAAAAUUAUUUAUUAAUGGAUCUGAAAAGCAUGAUGCACGUACAUUUGUAUUUAUCUUAUAGUAUAUGGUUUUGUCUUUUUAUAUUUUUUUAAUGUGCUAUAGAGAAUGCUUCAUUAUUUUAUCUAUACAUAUAUACAUCCAACUCUGAUUUGAAUUCAAUUCCUCCUUCUAAAUUGAUUUAUAUAGCACAAUUUUUAAAUUGCAAUUUUUAUAUCAAACUAUUAUAAAGUAAUAGAGUCAUAUCCAAAUAACAAUGUCAAUUCAUUUAUCAUCUAUAGGAUUUCUUUUCGAAAUCAUCUCUAAAAAUAUAAUAUCAAAAGAAUAAAUAUCGGAUUUAUUAGAGUGUUUUCUCAAUUGUGUUGUCAAUAGAUUGGUAUAAUUGUAAUUAAAUAAUCAUAAUUAAAAUGUAUUAAUAUUUUCUUAAAAAACUAAUAUCUUCAAAUUAAUUAAGGAACCCUAAUUUCUUCUUGUAUUUUUUUCUUUGUCUUAAUUUUUAUUGUAUUUUUCAAACUAUUCUAAGAGUAGAUAACAAUGGCAUUGAAAAAAAAAGAAAAACAAUACCGAUUCAAUUAAAUGAUAGAAAAGAAGUUGUAUUUUACGUACACUUGUGUUUCCAUAAUUGAUGAUUUGGAUAUGUGAGUAAAAGCAUCCUUAAAAAAUAGGGCAAGUCUAAAAUCUGAAACCUAAAUAAAUGAUUUAAGUAAAUUAAUAAAUUUAUUACAUGUAUAUUUUAUACUAAAAUAUUUUUUAAAAAAAUAUUUUCUAUAUUUUUUGAUAUUUAACACGCCUAAAAAAAUUAAUUAACGAAAAAUUUCAUGAUUAAAGAAAUAAUUAAGUUAUUUUUAAAAAAUGAUUUUCUUAUUUAAAAAAAAUGAUUUUCUCUUUUAAAAAAAGUCAUUUUUUAUAUUUUGAAAAUUUUAUUAAAAUCUCUAUAUAUAAUUUUGGUAAUAUAUUUUAUUUUUAAAUUAAAAUUAAAUAAUAAAAAAUAAGUUAUUUUUAUUACAAAAUAACUUUUAAAAACAAUUAAUACCUCUAGUUUCACUCCGGUGAACUGCCCUGUUCAUCCCCCAGCGAGAGGCCAUCGGAAGUUGCAUAACUUCUGUAACCACGGCUAGAGGUAUUAAGUGUAAAUGUGAAUGGUCAAAGAUAGAGAGGAAGAUGUAGGAAGGAUGGUGGAAGCUAAGACAGUAGGUAUACAUAUGAAGUGGACUUGAUUUCUCACAUUAAUGUUGGAUUAAGACAAUUUAGAUUUCUUUGAAAAUAGAAAGAUAAAUUGGACUUGGUCAAUUGUUAUUGGACUUGGUCAAUUGUUUAGAGUUUUCAUCUAAUCUAUGAAGUGAUUGUGUAAAGUCUUCGUCUAAUCUAUGAAGUGGCUUUUAUAUCAUAUAGGAUACUUAUAUGAUAUAUAAAUAAAAAAUACUGUAAAGAUAUUUAUAUAAAACAGUUAAUUUUUUAUAAAAAAAAAAUUAUUAGUUGAUGACCGCUGGGUUUUACCAUCUCAGUAUGAGGCUAAACUUCAAAAAGUAGUGCUGAUUCAAAAGCUUAUGAAACUUUCCUGACAAAUUGAUCCAAUAUUUUCGAUCCCGAUUCAGGUCCGAAGAUAUUAAGUAUGAAUGUGAAUGUGAAGCAUCAAAAUAGAGAGGGAGCUGUAGGAAGGAUGAUAGAAGGUAAGACAGUAGGUAUACAUAUGAAGUGGACUUGAUUUCUCACAUUAAAGUUAAAUUAAGACAAUUUGAAUUUUUUAGAAAUAGAAAGACAAAUUGGACUUGGUCAAUUGUUUAAAGUCUUCAUCAAUUUAUGAAGUGAUUGUUUAAAGUCUUCAUCUAAUCUAUGAAGUGGCUUUAUACCAUAUAGGAUACUUAUAUAUAUAUAAAAGAAAUACAAUAAAGAUAUUUAUAUAAAAACAGUUAUUUUUUUAUAAAAAAAAUUAUUAGUUAGUUAUAUUUUUUUUAGGGUUCAUUUAUAUAUAAAAAUUAUAUUUAUUUAUUUAUCUAAAUUUUUAUUAAUUUAUUGUAUUAUAUCGAAUUGCUUACCUGAUACAACAGCGAUACGGUAUAAUUUCAAGUAAUUGCUUCUAUUUCUAGAUGCGCAAGCUGCAAUUUCAAUGUUUGGAGCCGUUGAUUGCAGACUGAAUAUACAUUCACAACCUCAUACUAAUUAAUAUUAAUUUAUUAAAAAUCUAAACUAAAAUUGUAACAUAUAUAUUUUUUUGAACGAAUAAAAUUGUAACAUAUUUAAUAUUUAAAUUUAUAAUUAUAAUAAUAAACACAAAUUAAUCUUAUUAUUAUAUUUUAUUAAAAAAUUUUAAUUACACAUAUUACUAAAUAUAUUUUAAACUUUACUAAUUAUACUUUGAUUUUUAUAAAUUGACAAAAUUAGAAGAAAUUAAUUUUAUUGGAAAAAAAUAAAAUUUGAUUACACAUAUUAUUAAUAUUACUAAAUGUGUUAUAAUUUUUAUAAAUCAAUAAAAUUAAAUGAAAAUGAUUUUAUUAAAAUAAAUAAUAAAUUAUUUUUUUAAAAUAUAAUAUUCAUAAUGAAAUAAGGAUACAAAUAAUUUUAUAAAUAAUUGUAUAUAAAAAUAAAUAAUAAAUUAUUAUUAUAAAAUAUAUAAUAAUUAUAAAAAAUUAUUUUGUGAUUUAACAUCUUUUUCAAAUAAAAUUCUAUUAUUUAAUUUGUAAUAAAAAGAACUAUUUGAUCUCUCACGUUAGUGUUAGAUUAAGACAAUUUGGAUUUUUAUUUUUAAUUUUUUUUAAAAAAGAGACAAUUUGGAAUUGUUCAAUGGCAUGAAAUUCUUCAUCUAAUUUAUGAACUGAACUUUUAUAUAUGUUUUGGACUUGUUCAAUGCCAUGAAAUUCUUCAUCUAAUUUAUGAACUGAACUUUUAUAUAUGUGCUGGUUAUUGAAAUUAUUUAAAAUAAUUCUAGAAGUUCAAUAAUCAACAAUUCAACAUGCUUUUUAUCUCAUUGGAUAUAGCUAUUAUGAAUACAAGAAACCUUUCACACAUGUAAGGACUAAUAUAUAAGAAACUUUUCUGGCAGAGAUAUUGUCACCUAUCUUUAUUGUAGUGGUAGUUGUUGCAUAGCUUUAGCGACUCUGCAACUUCCGAUCAAUUGAUGGCUUCUCGCCAGGAAAGAACAAGCAGUACAAUUGGGCCGAAGCAAUAUAGUUUUGAAGAAUUAGUAGUGGCAACUGGUGGUUUCUCCCGCAAAAACCUCCUUGGCGAGGGUGGUUAUGGUGAAGUCUUCAAGGGAUUUCUAGAUGAGUACCGUGCUAUUAAAAAACUUAGAAUUAUUUCGUCGGAUG
Molecule: long non-coding RNA, 19136 nt
Filed under: Manihot esculenta (cassava)
Lineage: Eukaryota; Viridiplantae; Streptophyta; Magnoliopsida; Malpighiales; Euphorbiaceae
Description: long non-coding RNA (MESC_LNC006382)
Source: RNAcentral